Oncorhynchus tshawytscha (Chinook salmon) is the source of this 704-nucleotide long non-coding RNA. The record is from Ensembl. NCBI's taxonomy places the organism in Eukaryota, Metazoa, Chordata, Actinopteri, Salmoniformes, Salmonidae.
UUAAAGGUGCAAUCUGGGAUAUUUGCUGUUUAAUAUUUGGUGGUGGGCUAAUGUUGAGCUUUAACACAAAUCCCAGAUUGUAUCUUUAAGGUCCAAGCUGCCCUAAACUGCUGUUGUCAUGUUCAUUAGGGGACACAAUGGAAAACAUUUAAAUGUUGUGCAAUGGAAAAAGAAAACGGGCAUUUCAUAUUGGACAAGUCCAGGUGGUAGGUGGUAGGUCUAGGUGGUAGGUCCAGGUGGUAGGUGGUAGGUCCAGGUGGUAGGUGGUCGGUCCAGGUGGUAGGUGGUAGGUCCAGGUGGUAGGUGGUAGGUCCAGGUGGUAGGUGGUAGGUCCAGGUGGUAGGUGGUCGGUCCAGGUGGUAGGUGGUAGGUCCAGGUGGUAGGUGGUAGGUCUAGGUGGUAGGUCCAGGUGGUAGGUGGUAGGUCCAGGUGGUAGGUGGUAGGUCCAGGUGGUAGGCUAGUCCCUCACUGUUUAAUUUUUAUUUUAUUUUUUAUUAUUUUUUUUUUUAUCACCUUUAUUUAACCAGGUAGGCCAGUUGAGAACAAGUCCUCAUUUACAACUGUGACCUGGCCAAGAUAAAACAAAGCAGUGCGACACAAACACAGACAGAGAUAAAACAUGGAAUAAACAAACGUACAGUCAAUAACACAAUAGAAAAGUCUAUAUACAGUAUGUGCAAAUUAAGUAAGAUUAGGGAGGUAAG